RNAcentral lists this ribosomal RNA (357 nucleotides) under uncultured eukaryote. Its description in RNAcentral is "LSU rRNA". It matches the Rfam family "Bacterial large subunit ribosomal RNA", at positions 2123 to 2479 of the family's 2925-position model. The record is from RNAcentral.
UUCAGCUCUUCUUGCGCAGCUUAGGUGGAAGGCGUAGAUCCAAUGCUUCCGGGUAUUGGGUAGCCAACAGUGAGAUACCACUCUUGAAGAGCUCGGAGUCUAAGGGCGAUCCUUGAUCAGGACGUCUGACCAUUUCUGGUGGGCAGUUUUACUGGGGCGGUAGCCUCCCAAAAGGUAACGGAGGCGUACAAAGGUUAUUUCAGAUUGGACAGAAAUCUCUCUCCGAGUGCAAAGGCAUAAAAUAGCUUGAUUGCGAGACUUACAAGUCAAGCAGGGACGAAAGUCGGUCUUAGUGAUCCGACGAUUCCGCGUGGAAGGGUCGUCGCUCAACGGAUAAAAGUUACUCUAGGGAUAACA